Molecule: ribosomal RNA, 150 nt
Filed under: uncultured bacterium
Lineage: Bacteria
Description: partial 16S ribosomal RNA
Rfam family: Bacterial small subunit ribosomal RNA
Source: RNAcentral
CCUACGGGAGGCAGCAGUGGGGAAUUUUGGACAAUGGGGGCAACCCUGAUCCAGCCAUGCCGCGUGAGUGAAGAAGGCCUUCGGGUUGUAAAGCUCUUUCAGCCGGAACGAAAAGGUUACGGUUAAUAACCGUGACUAAUGACGGUACCG